This 118-nucleotide ribosomal RNA is filed under the name Cephalotus follicularis. Lineage: Eukaryota; Viridiplantae; Streptophyta; Magnoliopsida; Oxalidales; Cephalotaceae. The record is from RNAcentral.
AGGUGUGAUCAUACCAGCACAAAUGCACCGGAUUCCAUUAGAACUUCGAAGGUAGGCGUGCUUGGGUGAGAAUAGUACUAAGUUGAGCUUUGUCACAGGACUUCCACAGGCACAGGAA